GACAGAGGGGGCAAGCGUUGCUCGGAAUUACUGGGCGUAAAGGGCGCGUAGGCGGGAUGGCAAGUCGGUCGUGAAAUCCCUCGGCUCAACUGAGGAUCGUCGAUCGAUACCGCCGUUCUUGAGGAUUGCAGAGGAGACUGGAAUUCCCGGUGUAGCGGUGAAAUGUGUAGAGAUCGGGAGGAACACCGGUGGCGAAGGCGGGUCUCUGGGCAAUUCCUGACGCUGAGGCGCGAAAGCGUGGGGAGCAAACAGG
This 253-nucleotide ribosomal RNA is filed under the name uncultured bacterium. RNAcentral's name for it is "partial 16S ribosomal RNA". It matches the Rfam family "Bacterial small subunit ribosomal RNA", at positions 524 to 776 of the family's 1533-position model. The record is from RNAcentral.